Molecule: unclassified non-coding RNA, 298 nt
Filed under: plant metagenome
Description: partial contains small subunit ribosomal RNA, internal transcribed spacer 1, and 5.8S ribosomal RNA
Source: RNAcentral
UUUCCGUAGGUGAACCUGCGGAAGGAUCAUUAACAGACGUCUCGUCUCGGUGUCGUCAGACGCCGUGGCAAGACGACAAACAAGAGGAGGUAUCGGACAUUCCGCAAGGGAUGGUCGAUGCCACCACAAAGGCUGAUGACGAAGUUUUGUAUCUUUGACACCACACACAGUCCUUUAUCCUCGCAAAACAAAGUGAUGGCUCUCCCUAAAGAUUCUCCUAACUAUUAUCUUCUCUCCUAAGUUCUCAACAACACAAAAAAACAACUAAAAACUUUUGACAACGGAUCUCUUGGCUCUC